This 2300-nucleotide long non-coding RNA is filed under the name Canis lupus familiaris (dog). RNAcentral describes it as "lncRNA (ENSCAFG00000055671.1, ENSCAFG00805018204.1)". The record is from RNAcentral. Lineage: Eukaryota; Metazoa; Chordata; Mammalia; Carnivora; Canidae.
CCACAAAGGAGUGCUGGUGAUUGAUUGUGCGAUUCAGAAAAGAUGUGAAGGUAAGAGAAUCGGUUAAUCUUAAAAUGGAAUGGUGUCAAAGGACUGGAUGUCUUGAUGAGAUUGAAGUCUAGGGUUAUUGGAGUCUAUAUGGUUUUUGAAGGAGUAAAAGACCUAGAAAGAUAGGAGAUAAUGGGGUGUUAGGAGCUGAAGCUUUCAGAGGUGGAUGCAGUAUGGGUAAAGCUAAGGUAAAAGCCUAGUGUCACUCAGGACAUCAAGAGGAACUGAAGGAAAGGUAAGCAUUGGUGCCACAUGCCUAAAUUCUUUUAAAAAAGAACAAAAAAUAGGACCAAGAAGUCAGAAGGUAGAAGUAGCAGGGAUAAGUAGAGUUUGCCAGAGUGAUAGAAGAGCAAGGGAAUUUGGAAAUAGAUGUGAAAAAUAGUAGUCAUGAAAUAGCAGUAGGUAGUUAAGGAAGUAAGGACAGUGACUCCUCCAAGAUCUGAACCCGCCCCAUGGUCUUACCCCAAAUGUCCAUUUGCUUCUUAUGGCAUAAUCAAUACUGUCCUAUGGUUGGAUCUGCUUGGUCCAUGUGGCCUUAGUACCUGGGAACCUCUGGGAGAGAGGAGACAUAAUGUGAGUAAAUAGCAACUAUAGUUGCUAUAAAAUGGAUUUAGGUGAGCAAAGGUAUGGGAAAUAUGGAAGGUGUAUUAGUUUCCGAGGACUGCCAUAACAAAAUACCAGACUGGGUUACUUGCACAGCAGAAAUCUAUUUUCUCACAGUUCUGGAGGCUAGAAGUCUAAGAUCAAGGUGUUGGCAGGUUCGGGUUCUUUUGAGACCUCUCUCCUUAUAAUCAUAUUCUGAGAUUUGGGUUCUCUUGAGAUCCCUCUCCUUGAAUCAUAUUCUAGAACAUCAACAUAUGAGUUUGGGAAGGACACAGUUCAACCUAAACAGAUGGUAUAUGUCUCAAAUAUUUAAGAAUCCCAGGAUCAUUCCUUACACAUCACCCCUCCUUCUGCAAGAUCACCAUGAGGACCAAUUACCAAACAGAAAACCAGGUACCCUGUGUUACCAGCUAGGCUAGUACCUGGCUCCACAGACUUGGGGUGUCCAGUAAAGCUGGAGCUCAAUGGCUCCAUGACAAGACCUCCUUUGAUCAGAAGCUUAAAAAGAGCAUGCCCACUGCCUGCCAGAGCUUAAAUCCUAAUAUCCUCCCCUAUCACUCUUUGGCCAGGUGCAUGGAGAAAGUAGAGCAAAGAGAGAGCCAGAAGACCCAAAGAAGGCUAGUUCCCAGAUAUUUUUUUCAUUGAAUGAAAUAAAGCAAAAAAGCAAGAGAAGCUGAUGUGUAUGGCCAGUUGAUUUACUUCCACUGCCCACUAAUAAGCUUAGAUUAUGGCCUGAAGCAUAAGGAAAGAGGUGGGAAUCAGGAUAGGCUGAAAAGUGGGAAAAGGAGAGAGGUGUCCUCUCUUACACAGCUACCAAAGUAGAUUCUAGAAGCUAUAAGCCUACUGGCAGCUGAGGAAGCAUGAAGAUUUUGCUCUUCAAGAGAGGUCAAAACACCUCAUCAACCUCCUUGUUCGAUAAAAAUGUGUCAUGGAGAGCCAGCUGUGUUGGCCAGGCAAGGAUCAUUUGGUGCCUUCAGAAAAACAAGUAAGUUUUCUUUUCAAAGUACUCAUUCUCAAAUAGAGUGACCAACAACCUAACAGGAAAUAACAUGGGAGUAGGGAACUCUGAUUCAUGGUCUCAGCCCACCAUCUAAUUUCAAUGAGACCCUGGGCAACACAUUUCUCUCCACUAGGACUCAACGACCUCAUUUCAAUAUUAUUAAUCAUUUAUGUAAAAUACAGAUAAUAAUGCAUGGCCUUCGUCAGUUGUUUUCAGGAUGAAAACAUUCUUCCUGGAAACAAAGCUUCACAGGAGAUUGGGGCGGAAUGUGACCCCCAUCCCCAGCAUACUGACUCAUAGGCCAGUCCUAUUCCAAAGUGCUGAGCUGCUUUUACCGUGUCCACCCUCUAGAACAAUGUUUCCAAUAUUUAGUCACUUACAUUUAUAAAUUUUUUGUAUCCAUGAAUAUCAUCUGUGUUAUUAUUAUUUAUUUCAUAUUUUUAUUUUACUCUGGAUUUGUUUUUUUAACUGAAAUCCAUAUAUUUGAAAGUAUGUUGCUACUCUAAAUAUAAAAAUAAAAAUAAUGAGUAAAAAUUGUUAAAUGCUAGCAGAAUAAUAUUGCCUCUUCAAGACUCUGAAUUUGAGACCAGUCUUUCCUUAUUAAAUGAGAAUGAGCAUCAGUGGCAUAAUGGCAUCACCUUGAGAUUUU